UGCCCGAUGGUGUAAUGGUAGCACUACUGGUUCUGGACCAGUUAGUCCAGGUUCGAGUCCUGGUCGGGCAGCCA
This 74-nucleotide transfer RNA is filed under the name Victivallales bacterium. RNAcentral's name for it is "tRNA-Gln". It matches the Rfam family "tRNA". Rfam says of the family: Transfer RNA (tRNA) molecules are approximately 80 nucleotides in length. Their secondary structure includes four short double-helical elements and three loops (D, anti-codon, and T loops). The record is from RNAcentral. Lineage: Bacteria; Pseudomonadati; Lentisphaerota; Lentisphaeria; Victivallales.